GGGUUAGGUCAAUGAUAGAGCUAUGUGGACACCAAGAAGAGGUGAUGACUUAAAAAUCAUGCUCAAUAGGAUUACGCACAAGGCCC
Non-coding RNA from Chlorocebus sabaeus (green monkey), 86 nucleotides. The record is from RefSeq and is a predicted model, not a curated record. Lineage: Eukaryota; Metazoa; Chordata; Mammalia; Primates; Cercopithecidae.